This 243-nucleotide ribosomal RNA is filed under the name uncultured bacterium. Its description in RNAcentral is "partial 16S ribosomal RNA". It matches the Rfam family "Bacterial small subunit ribosomal RNA", at positions 57 to 305 of the family's 1533-position model. The record is from RNAcentral.
GCAAGUCGAGCGGUAACAGGGGUAGCUUUCUACCCGCUGCCGCGCGGCGGACGGGUGAGUGAUGCAUAGGAAUCUGCCCGAUAGUGGGGGAUAACCUGGGGAACCCAGGCUAAUACCGCAUACGUCCUACGGGAGAAAGGGGGCUUCGGCUCCCGCUAUUGGAUGAGCCUAUGUCGGAUUAGCUAGUUGGUGAGGUAAUGGCUCACCAAGGCAACGAUCCGUAGCUGGUCUGAGAGGAUGAUC